Molecule: ribosomal RNA, 253 nt
Filed under: uncultured bacterium
Lineage: Bacteria
Description: partial 16S ribosomal RNA
Rfam family: Bacterial small subunit ribosomal RNA
Source: RNAcentral
UACGUAGGGUGCGAGCGUUAAUCGGAAUCACUGGGCGUAAAGGGUGCGUAGGCGGGUCUUUAAGUCAGGGGUGAAAUCCUGGAGCUCAACUCCAGAACUGCCUUUGAUACUGAAGAUCUUGAGUUCGGGAGAGGUGAGUGGAACUGCGAGUGUAGAGGUGAAAUUCGUAGAUAUUCGCAAGAACACCAGUGGCGAAGGCGGCUCACUGGCCCGAUACUGACGCUGAGGCACGAAAGCGUGGGGAGCAAACAGG